UUUUAGAGGAUCUUACUGAGUCCAUUAUCAGAACAAGCACAAAUUAUCUCUCCUAUAUACCAAGAUGUUGCUAAAUGACAGCAGAAAUGAAAUUCUUAGAGAACCUAAGAUAAUCUAUAUUAUCCAAGUAAAAAACAUUUUCUGCAACUCAGUAAAUGCAUUUAUUGUCUAUCAUGUUUAGCCACAUUUGUAUCUUAUCCCCCUGCUAAAACUAUAAGCUCCAUAAGGCCCUGGAAAGAUCUUACCUAAACUCUGUAUCGCACUCUAGACAGCGUUUUGAACAUAGAAGGUUCUUUAAAAUAUUUGCUGAAUUACUAGUUAGAUCACUAAACAAGGGUCACUAUGUUGUAUUCAAAUACAUGUUUAUCAAAAUGAUAUUUUAAUCAUUUUGACUAUACACAUGGAUUUAUAAUUAAGUCAUGCUUUUGUUACUCUAAGAUGACAGAAAUUAAUGCAGCAUUGGUGAUGUUAGCAUCCCUAAUACUACCCAAAAGAAAAUGAUGGCAACAGACCCCAAAGUAACCAAAAUGUAGAAAACCCAAAUCAUAUUUGAACAUGUUAAAAAGAACAUCAAUUCAAAAAGUAUUUAUUAAGCACUUACUUCAGGCAAGACACUACAUUAGGCAACAGGGAUACAACAACGAACACAGUCCCUGCCCUUCCAGGAACCUACAAUACAAUGGAAGAUGAAGAUGAAACAUAUAUACAAAUAGGAAAGAAAUGUUGUUGUUUUGGGUUUUUUUUUCCAGGCAAGCGGGAGGAGGGAGUAGAAAUCACAGGGAUGAAAAAAGCAAAGGCAUUUGAAGCUUAUUUUCUCUUCUCUUGAAAUUUACACAAAAUUAACUUCACACCAGAAAACUUGUUAAGCAAGUAGAAUAAGGGGCAUCGGAAGAUGCAGGGGGAGCCAUCCCUCACCCAUCACAAAGUCAAGGUCAGCUAAGUCAAGUUCGGCGGCUCAGAGACCAUCCCACAACUGCAUUCGUAGUACCACCACCAACCCCCCAGACUCCGAUCUUCCUGGACUCACAUCUCCAAGGCUCAGGAAGGUGGGCGAGCAUCACGAGCAGGAAGCAAGCGAGAGGCAGAGCGGCAGUGGCAACUAAUCGAAUCCUCCGGCCCCGCCCUCCCGACCGGGGAACGCGCAGCCGAACCUGCUACCCAUCCGAGCGACGGCGACCCGGACCGCCUCAGCCAAUGGGGGAGCUCCUCCAAGUCCCGCCCCCGGCGAGGCCCGGCCCCUCCUGCUUCGGAGAGAACCUAUGCGGGUAGCGGCUCCCUUUCCUUCUCUCCCUACUUUUUCUCUCUCGCGCUCUCUAGAUUUCUCUCCUUCUCCUCCUCUCUUCGCCAUCGAUACUCACGCCCCCAGGACCUGAAUUUUUUUUUUCUUAUUUUACACACACACACCCCCACAAAACAUACACAUUCUCUUCAGACUCACCGCGGGGGCGCGCUUGCGAGCUCUCGCGGCGUCGCUCGCGCUAGGUUUGGUUGA
RNAcentral lists this long non-coding RNA (1492 nucleotides) under Phascolarctos cinereus (koala). RNAcentral describes it as "lncRNA (ENSPCIG00000017627.2)". Lineage: Eukaryota; Metazoa; Chordata; Mammalia; Diprotodontia; Phascolarctidae. The record is from RNAcentral.